RNAcentral lists this transfer RNA (73 nucleotides) under Chelonia mydas (Green sea turtle). It matches the Rfam family "tRNA". From Rfam's summary of the family: Transfer RNA (tRNA) molecules are approximately 80 nucleotides in length. Their secondary structure includes four short double-helical elements and three loops (D, anti-codon, and T loops). Further hydrogen bonds mediate the characteristic L-shaped molecular structure. tRNAs have two regions of fundamental functional importance: the anti-codon, which is responsible for specific mRNA codon recognition, and the 3' end, to which the tRNAs corresponding amino acid is attached (by aminoacyl-tRNA synthetases). tRNAs cope with the degeneracy of the genetic code in two manners: having more than one tRNA (with a specific anti-codon) for a particular amino acid; and 'wobble' base-pairing, i.e. permitting non-standard base-pairing at the 3rd anti-codon position. Lineage: Eukaryota; Metazoa; Chordata; Testudines; Cheloniidae. The record is from Rfam by way of RNAcentral.
GGGGUUUUAGUUCAGUGGUUAGAGCAUCUGACUGCGGAUCAAGUGGUUCCUGGUUCAAAUCCAGACAACCCCC